GACGUAGGGCGCGAGCGUUGUCCGGAUUCAUUGGGCGUAAAGCGCUCGUAGGCGGCUUGUCGCGUCGUCCGUGAAAACUUGGGGCUCAACCCCAAGCUUGCGGUCGAUACGGGCAGGCUAGAGUUCGGUAGGGGAGACUGGAAUUCCUGGUGUAGCGGUGAAAUGCGCAGAUAUCAGGAGGAACACCGGUGGCGAAGGCGGGUCUCUGGGCCGAUACUGACGCUGAGGAGCGAAAGCGUGGGGAGCGAACAGG
Molecule: ribosomal RNA, 253 nt
Filed under: uncultured bacterium
Lineage: Bacteria
Description: partial 16S ribosomal RNA
Rfam family: Bacterial small subunit ribosomal RNA
Source: RNAcentral